UACACAUGAUGAUAAGUAAUUCUUUGAUCAAUUCACAGUGAUAUGUAUAAUAAAAUAUCGAGCUUUUUAACACUGAUAAAA
Molecule: non-coding RNA, 81 nt
Organism: Apis mellifera (honey bee)
Lineage: Eukaryota; Metazoa; Arthropoda; Insecta; Hymenoptera; Apidae
Source: Rfam